This 305-nucleotide ribosomal RNA is filed under the name uncultured bacterium. RNAcentral's name for it is "bacterial SSU rRNA". It matches the Rfam family "Bacterial small subunit ribosomal RNA", at positions 332 to 636 of the family's 1533-position model. The record is from RNAcentral.
CCUACCUACGGGACGCAGCAGUGAGGAAUAUUGGUCAAUGGGCGCGAGCCUGAACCAGCCAAGUCGCGUGAGGGAAGACGGCCCUACGGGUUGUAAACCUCUUUUGCCGGGGGGCAACGGGCGCCACGUGUGGCGCCACUGAGAGUACCCGGAGAAAAAGCAUCGGCUAACUCCGUGCCAGCAGCCGCGGUAAUACGGAGGAUGCGAGCGUUAUCCGGAUUUAUUGGGUUUAAAGGGUGCGUAGGCGGAGCGUUAAGUCAGUGGUCAAAUUGAGGGGCUCAACCCCUUCCCGCCAUUGAAACUGG